Molecule: long non-coding RNA, 343 nt
Filed under: Capsicum annuum
Lineage: Eukaryota; Viridiplantae; Streptophyta; Magnoliopsida; Solanales; Solanaceae
Description: long non-coding RNA (CANN_LNC011983)
Source: RNAcentral
UUACUGAUGGUCCGUGCUGUGUCCACCAGUGAAUAAACCAGUUUGGGACUGAUUUCUCAAAUACCUUGGAACAUAUUUUAACGAACCAAGUGUGUUUAUGCUUAUAAUUAUUGUAAUAAAAGACUUGAGAAAAAGCUUUGAUGUAGUCCCAAUAAGUAAAGUUGGCAAUAGUUUGCCCUUGAGGUCCCAUAGGGAGAUUUCGAAGGGUCAUGGAAGAAAUUCCCCAUUCUUCGAUAGGGAUCAAUUUUUUUAUAAUUAUUUUGGAGUAGCCGUGAACGCCCGGAGUAGAUUCUCCUAAAGGGCUGUGCUCGAAAGUCGCACUGGCAGUAUUGACAAGAAUUUG